UGGGGAAUUUUGGACAAUGGGCGAAAGCCUGAUCCAGCAAUGCCGCGUGUGUGAAGAAGGCCUUCGGGUUGUAAAGCACUUUUGUCCGGAAAGAAAUCCUUGGCUCUAAUACAGUCGGGGGAUGACGGUACCGGAAGAAUAAGCACCGGCUAACUACGUGCCAGCAGCCGCGGUAAUACGUAGGGUGCAAGCGUUAAUCGGAAUUACUGGGCGUAAAGCGUGCGCAGGCGGUUUGCUAAGACCGAUGUGAAAUCCCCGGGCUCAACCUGGGAACUGCAUUGGUGACUGGCAGGCUAGAGUAUGGCAGAGGGGGGUAGAAUUCCACGUGUAGCAGUGAAAUGCAUAGAGAUGUGGAGGAAUACCGAUGGCGAAGGCAGCCCCCUGGGCCAAUACUGACGCUCAUGCACGAAAGCGUGGGGAGCAAACAGGAUUAGAUACCCUGGUAGUCCACGCCCUAAACGAUGUCAACUAGUUGUUGGGGAUUCAUUUCCUUAGUAACGUAGCUAACGCGUGAAGUUGACCGCCUGGGGAGUACGGUCG
This 540-nucleotide ribosomal RNA is filed under the name uncultured bacterium. RNAcentral describes it as "partial 16S ribosomal RNA". It matches the Rfam family "Bacterial small subunit ribosomal RNA", at positions 355 to 888 of the family's 1533-position model. The record is from RNAcentral.